RNAcentral lists this small RNA (26 nucleotides) under Bombyx mori (domestic silkworm). RNAcentral describes it as "ovarian small RNA-27442". Lineage: Eukaryota; Metazoa; Arthropoda; Insecta; Lepidoptera; Bombycidae. The record is from RNAcentral.
UCCGAAACUACCGCUACUAUGCCUCC